GACGAACGCUGGCGGCGUGCUUAACACAUGCAAGUCGAACGGAAAGGCCCUGCUUUUGUGGGGUGCUCGAGUGGCGAACGGGUGAGUAACACGUGAGUAACCUGCCCUUGACUUUGGGAUAACUUCAGGAAACUGGGGCUAAUACCGGAUAGGAGCUCCGGCUGCAUGGUGGGGGUUGGAAAGUUUCGGCGGUUGGGGAUGGACUCGCGGCUUAUCAGCUUGUUGGUGGGGUAGUGGCUUACCAAGGCUUUGACGGGUAGCCGGCCUGAGAGGGUGACCGGCCACAUUGGGACUGAGAUACCGCCCAGACUCCUACGGGAGGCAGCAGUGAGGAAUAUUGCACGAUGGGCGGAAGCCUUAUGCAGCAACGCCGCGUGCGGGAUGACGGCCUUCGGGUUGUAACCCGCUUUCGCCUGUGACGAAGCGUGAGUGACGGUAAUGGGUAAAGAAGCACCGGCUAACUACGUA
RNAcentral lists this ribosomal RNA (468 nucleotides) under uncultured bacterium. RNAcentral's name for it is "partial 16S ribosomal RNA". It matches the Rfam family "Bacterial small subunit ribosomal RNA", at positions 28 to 507 of the family's 1533-position model. The record is from RNAcentral.